Molecule: ribosomal RNA, 484 nt
Filed under: uncultured bacterium
Lineage: Bacteria
Description: partial 16S ribosomal RNA
Rfam family: Bacterial small subunit ribosomal RNA
Source: RNAcentral
AUUGAACGCUGGCGGCAGGCCUAACACAUGCAAGUCGAGCGGAUGAAGGGAGCUUGCUCCUGGAUUCAGCGGCGGACGGGUGAGUAAUGCCUAGGAAUCUGCCUGGUAGUGGGGGAUAACGUCCGGAAACGGGCGCUAAUACCGCAUACGUCCUGAGGGAGAAAGUGGGGGAUCUUCGGACCUCACGCUAUCAGAUGAGCCUAGGUCGGAUUAGCUAGUUGGUGGGGAAAAGGCCUACCAAGGCGACGAUCCGUAACUGGUCUGAGAGGAUGAUCAGUCACACUGGAACUGAGACACGGUCCAGACUCCUACGGGAGGCAGCAGUGGGGAAUAUUGGACGAUGGGCGAAAGCCUGAUCCAGCCAUGCCGCGUGUGUGAAGAAGGUCUUCGGAUUGUAAAGCACUUUAAGUUGGGAGGAAGGGCAGUAAGUUAAUACCUUGCUGUUUUGACGUUACCAACAGAAUAAGCACCGGCUAACUUCGUG